This 3941-nucleotide unclassified non-coding RNA is filed under the name Zerene cesonia (dogface butterfly). RNAcentral's name for it is "inositol hexakisphosphate and diphosphoinositol- pentakisphosphate kinase, transcript variant X1". The record is from RNAcentral. Lineage: Eukaryota; Metazoa; Arthropoda; Insecta; Lepidoptera; Pieridae.
UUGGAUCUGUGCGAAUCAUUAGACCCCAAUGGAGAUGGUGGUGGUAAGAAAGUGGUGGUUGGCGUCUGCGCCAUGGCCAAGAAGUCGCAAUCGAAACCAAUGAAGGAGAUCCUCACACGGCUCGAUGAAUUCGAGUAUAUUAAAAUGCUCGUUUUUCCAGAGGAGGUUAUACUCAAGAAGCCUGUCGAAGAGUGGCCUAUAUGUGACUGUCUAAUCUCGUUUCAUUCAAAGGGAUUUCCUCUUGAUAAAGCAAUACAAUACGAAAAACUACGUAAACCAUAUGUUAUAAACAAUCUUCACAUGCAAUAUGACAUACAAGAUCGUAGAAGAGUAUACGCUAUUUUAGAAAAUGAAGGAAUAGAAAUUCCUCGGUAUGCUGUUCUUGAUAGAGAUUCACCAGAUCCAAAACACCACGAGUUAGUUGAAUCAGAGGAUCAUGUGGAAGUAAACGGUGUCGUAUUCAACAAGCCGUUCGUGGAAAAGCCGGUGUCGGCUGAGGACCACAAUAUUUACAUUUACUACCCGACUUCCGCGGGCGGAGGUAGCCAGCGUUUGUUUAGAAAGAUCGGUAGUCGUAGCAGCAUAUAUUCGCCAGAAUCGCGAGUCCGUAAAACUGGGUCAUUUAUUUAUGAAGAUUUUAUGCCUACAGAUGAUUUUUUGAUAUUCGUUAGUAAUUCAAAAUUUGGUAUUUUAGGAACAGAUGUAAAAGUGUAUACAGUAGGGCCAGACUACGCCCACGCUGAAGCGCGAAAGAGUCCAGCUCUCGAUGGUAAAGUUGAGAGGGACUCGGAGGGCAAAGAGAUUCGCUAUCCAGUCAUAUUGUCCAACCAAGAAAAAUUAAUUUCGAGGAAAGUCUGUCUGGCCUUCAAACAAACUGUUUGUGGUUUUGAUUUACUAAGAGCGAAUGGAAAAUCCUUUGUGUGUGACGUAAACGGCUUUUCAUUUGUGAAAAACUCAAAUAAAUAUUACGAUGACUGUGCUAAAAUUCUUGGUAAUAUGAUCUUACGGGAGUUGGCGCCAACGUUGCACAUACCCUGGUCAGUCCCAUUCCAACUGGAUGAUCCACCUAUAGUGCCUACUACGUUUGGGAAAAUGAUGGAGUUGCGUUGUGUUGUCGCCGUGAUAAGACACGGAGAUAGAACUCCUAAGCAGAAAAUGAAGGUUGAAGUUCGUCAUCCUAGGUUUUUUGAGAUAUUUGAGAAGUAUGAUGGUUUCAAGCGAGGACAUGUAAAAUUAAAAAAACCCAAGCAACUGCAGGAAAUUCUUGACAUCGCUCGCGCGCUUUUAGCAGACAUACAUACGAGACACGCUGACCCAGAAAUCGAGGAAAAACAAGGAAAAUUGGAACAACUGAAAAGCGUACUGGAAAUGUACGGGCACUUCUCAGGGAUCAACCGCAAGGUGCAGAUGAAGUAUCAGCCACGUGGGCGGCCGCGUGGCUCGUCGUCGGACGACGGUAACGCCCCCGCCACACCCGCCACACCCGCCACCCCCGCCACACCCGCAUCCGCUGACGUAGGUUGCGCCGGUGAGCCUUCCCUGGUGCUGAUACUCAAGUGGGGCGGAGAGCUGACGCCUGCGGGGCGGAUACAGGCUGAGGAACUGGGACGGAUGUUCCGGUGCAUGUACCCUGGGGGCCAGGGACGGCAUAUACCUGGUGAAGCCGGUACUCAAGGUUUGGGGUUACUCCGCCUGCAUUCAACGUUCCGUCACGACCUCAAAAUAUACGCAUCGGAUGAAGGUCGAGUGCAGAUGACGGCGGCGGCUUUCGCUAAAGGGCUGCUGGCGCUGGAGGGAGAACUUACCCCGAUUUUGGUACAAAUGGUCAAGUCGGCCAAUACGAAUGGGCUGUUGGAUAAUGACUGUGAUUCAUCUAAAGUACAAAACAUGGCGAAGGCGCGUUUGCACGAGGCGAUGCAGGCGGACCGCGAGUUCACGGCGGAGGACCGCGCGCGCAUCAACCCGUGCGCGUCGCUCAGCAUCAACGCCGCCAUGGACUUCGUGAAGAACCCGGUGCGGUGCUGCGCGCACGUGCACGCGCUCAUACAGCAGCUCGUGCGCAUCGUGCUCACCAAGAAGGACGACCCCAAGACCAAGGACACAAUACUCUACCACGGAGAAACGUGGGAAUUAAUGGGACGGCGCUGGGGCAAAAUCGAAAAGGACUUUUGUACGAAGAACAAGUCCUUCGACAUAUCGAAGAUUCCUGAUAUAUACGAUUGCAUCAAGUACGACUUGCAACACAACCAGCACACUCUACAAUUCGACCUCGCCGAGGAGUUAUAUAUGUACGCUAAGUACCUGGCUGAUAUAGUUAUACCACAGGAAUAUGGAUUAACAAUGCAAGAGAAAUUGACGAUAAGUCAGGGUAUAUGUACACCUUUGUUGAAGAAAAUUAGAGCCGACCUGCAGAGGAAUAUUGAAGAGUCUGGAGAAGAGAAUGUUAACAGAUUGAAUCCAAGGUACAGUCACGGCGUAUCGAGCCCGGGGCGGCACGUGCGCACGCGCCUGUACUUCACCAGCGAGAGCCACGUGCACUCGCUGCUCACCGUGCUGCGCUUUGGCGGAUUGCUCGAUGUUAUGAAAGACGAGCAAUGGCGCCGCGCAAUGGAAUACGUAUCAAUGGUAUCGGAGUUGAAUUAUAUGUCACAGAUCGUUGUGAUGCUGUAUGAGGACCCUACCAAGGACCCCUGUUCAGAGGAGAGAUUCCACGUGGAGUUGCACUUCAGUCCCGGCGUGAACUGCUGCGUGCAAAAGAACCUGCCGCCCGGACCCGGCUUCCGCCCGCAUUCCCGGAACCACUCUACGGCCAACAAUGAGGCAAGCUCUCCAGACGAAGUAAAAUGUAUCGAAGAAGAAGUAGAAGAUGAUCAAAUGGCGAGCCAGGAAACUUUACAACCUGACGUCAUCGAUGAAUUAGAUAGCACUUUUACGCCAACAAAAUCUUCAAAGUCGAAACUUCGUCCUUCGGAUCCGAUACCUAUUUGUAAUCUGCACUACACGGUGAGCGGACACGAGGCGUCGACGCUGGCGGCGCGCCUCAACGAGGAGCUGCGCGCGCGCAGCCACACGCACGCGGACACGCGCCCGCACGCGCAGAGCGAAGAGAAAGAGACAAAAGACAACGAGGAGCCGCAACCGCGCGCGCGCAGCUACGACCAGCACAAGCAGGCGCACGACAAUGCGGCGCCCCCGGGGUGCGCGGGGCGGGGCGGGCCGCUCGGGGGCGCGGCCUCGUGGCCGGACUGUAGCGUGCGCGGCGCAGGGCGGCGCCAGCGGCACAGCAUCGCCGGCCAGAUGAGCUACCUCAAGAUGCUGGGGCUAGCGCGUGGCAAGCUGGCGGGAGCGGCCGGCCUCUUCAGCACGGCCGUCAUCUCGGGCUCCAGCUCGGCGCCCAACCUGCGCGUCAUGAUCCCCUCCGCGGCCAACAACAACACAGCGCUGGAGGGCUUCGGCGGCGUGCCGGCCAUCCGCCCGCUGGAGACGUUACACAACGCGCUGUCGCUGCGCCAGCUCGACGCCUUCCUCGAGCGGCUCACGUGCGUGCCCGCGCCGCCGCCCACUAACAGUGUAGGAUGGAGCGGUCCGUCCUCCCUUAUGUCGUCAUCGGGCGAGCUGCCUUCCGGCCUGUCCUCCGCCGGACCCUCCUCUCCCAAUUCCAACUACGCCGGCUCGGAGCAGAAGAACAACUCUGAGAGGUUCUUCUAUUAGCGGCGACGUGACGCCGGUGUCGGCGACCUCGGAGCUGGAGUUCAACAGCAACGAGGCCACCGCCGGCUCCAUCACUGAUCACGAUAUUAUGAGUGCUGAAGGUGAGGAUGACGAAGAAACCCUAUCAGUGGAUGCUUGCAGUUCGCCAGUCAGGAUAAUACGGAACGACCUCAGUCCGGCGCCGAGCUGCAAGAGCACCCUGCGGCCUGGCACCAGCCUCACCAGCAACG